AAAAUCCGUCGACUUUUAAAAUCGUGAGGGUUCAAGUCCCCCUCUAUCCCCAUGGUUCAAGACCCCUUAUCCCCA
Molecule: transfer RNA, 75 nt
Filed under: Passerina corymbosa
Lineage: Eukaryota; Viridiplantae; Streptophyta; Magnoliopsida; Malvales; Thymelaeaceae
Description: transfer RNA-Leu (UAA)
Source: RNAcentral